GGGAACAGAGACUAAUCCCCUAGGGCCCGAGACUUUUUUUACUGAUUUGUUUUGUGUGAAAGAAUUAUCAAAUUCGAAGACUCAGAUUUUGGAUUUAAAAAAGUAGAAACGAUGUUUGCGCUGCUGGUGGUGCCGCUUUCCUUUACUUAAGGAGUUCGGACUGUAAAAGUCAAGCUCAGAUUCUGAACAGAACUGUCCGCGUGAAAGAGCUUCAAGAGUUGGGGGAAUUGAUUGGUAACAGCGAUAUAUCGAGUCUCCUUGUCGCUGUAUCUGGAAAAGUCGGAUCUAAUGAAGCUUUCAUGUGUAAACGCAGUGGCGUUUUGGCUGUUUCUCUCACUGAAAAAGGCCGAACUUGUUGUUAAAACGGAGUCUUCCAAAUAAGCUGGUUUAUUGAAAACGGAGUUUAAAGAGGCUGGUUUAUUGAAUACGGAGUCCGAAGAGAUUCUACUAAGCCAGAAAACUGUCCCUUGGUUUCUGGAAGACGAUACUGGCCGGGUUAAUGUAGUUGGAUUUUAUGGUACUUUUAAAAGAAAUGUGUUUGAUGAACCUUUGAAUGAACUUUACGAAAGGGUGCUUCGUCGCAAAGAAGUCAAGAUUGUUAAACACACUUGCUCUGAGGAAUUUCUUGAGAUCGGUACGCCUUUGAGUAUUAUCGCUAAGGCUUACAGAGGCAGAGAUGGGACUCCCACAAUCCACGCACUACCCUCUCUAGUCUUCAAUGGACGUAAAGAACUCAAGGAAUUGAUUGGUACUAUGGAAUCAGAUUCAGUGUCUUAUUGGAGUUGCUCCAUUUGGUUGACAGCUUGGGGUAUGGUUUUCUCGCUGUAGGCCUUUUUGCAGGAUGACCACGCUUUAGAAUAGCGUUUUCAGUUUUAAUUUUGCUUUUGGGAUUCUUCUGGUUUUAAACUCAUCCCCUGUCAUAUCUACUAGUCACUGACUUUAUAAUGUGUAUUUUAUCAACCGGAAUGCACAUCUCUAAAACACCCGUUGCAAAUGGAACUUAGCUCAAACGAAA
This is a non-coding RNA of Camelina sativa (false flax), 1015 nucleotides long. The record is from RefSeq and is a predicted model, not a curated record. NCBI's taxonomy places the organism in Eukaryota, Viridiplantae, Streptophyta, Magnoliopsida, Brassicales, Brassicaceae.